RNAcentral lists this ribosomal RNA (392 nucleotides) under uncultured bacterium. RNAcentral describes it as "partial 16S ribosomal RNA". It matches the Rfam family "Bacterial small subunit ribosomal RNA", at positions 523 to 918 of the family's 1533-position model. The record is from RNAcentral.
AUACGGAGGAUCCGAGCGUUAUCCGGAUUUAUUGGGUUUAAAGGGUGCGCAGGCGGCCAUGUAAGUCAGCGGUUAAAUCGUGGGGCUCAACCCCAUUCUGCCGUUGAUACUGGGUGGCUUGAUUGCGGUCGAGGUUGGCGGAAUUCGUUGUGUAGCGGUGAAAUGCAUAGAUAUGACGAAGAACACCGAUUGCGGAGGCAGCUGACCAGGCCGCAAAUGACGCUCAUGCACGAAAGUGCGGGGAUCGAACAGGAUUAGAUACCCUGGUAGUCCGCACAGUAAACGAUGAAUACUUGUUUUCGGCGAUAUAAUGUCGGAGGCAAAGCGAAAGCGAUAAGUAUUCCACCUGGGGAGUACGCCGGCAACGGUGAAACUCAAAGGAAUUGACGGGG